Molecule: ribosomal RNA, 274 nt
Filed under: uncultured bacterium
Lineage: Bacteria
Description: partial 16S ribosomal RNA
Rfam family: Bacterial small subunit ribosomal RNA
Source: RNAcentral
AUACGGAGGGUGCAAGCGUUAUUCGGAAUCACUGGGCGUAAAGGACGCGUAGGCGGGUUGGCAAGUCAGAUGUGAAAUCCUACAGCUUAACUGUAGAACUGCAUUUGAAACUGCUAACCUAGAGUAUGGGAGGGGGAGAUGGAAUUAGUGGUGUAGGGGUAAAAUCCGUAGAUAUCACUAGGAAUACCGAAAGCGAAGGCGAUCUCCUGGAACAUAACUGACGCUAAGGCGCGAAAGCGAGGGGAGCAAACAGGAUUAGAAACCCUAGUAGUCC